GUACGCUGGCGGCACGCCUAACACAUGCAAGUCGAACGCAGUAGCAAUACUGAGUGGCAAACGGGUGAGUAUAAUGUGGGAAUCUGCCUUUUGGUUUGGAAUAACACGGGGAAACUUGUGCUAAUACCGAAUAAGCCCUUACGGGGAAAGUUUUAAUGCCAAAAGAUGAGCCCGCACUUGAUUAGCUAGUUGGUAAGGUAAAAGCUUACCAAGGCAACGAUCAAUAGCUGUUCUUAGAGGAAGACCAGCCACAUUGGGACUGAGACACGGCCCAGACUCCUACGGGAGGCAGCAGUGGGGAAUCUUGCACAAUGGGGGAAACCCUGAUGCAGCGAUGCCGCGUGAGUGAAGAAGGCCCUUGGGUUGUAAAACUCUUUCGUCGGGGAAGAAAAUGACUGUACCCGAAUAAGAAGGUC
RNAcentral lists this ribosomal RNA (416 nucleotides) under uncultured bacterium. RNAcentral describes it as "bacterial SSU rRNA". It matches the Rfam family "Bacterial small subunit ribosomal RNA", at positions 31 to 493 of the family's 1533-position model. The record is from RNAcentral.